CUGGGCGCGGGAUUAUUAUUGAUCUAAUCUGGAUCAUGCGGAUCGGAUCGGACGACCCAGGCUCCAAGGUACCCCUUCACCGCGAUCAUUUUCUAAAAGAGUCCCUGCUGAUUUUAAAAAUAGAACCCGUCAUCCAUGCUAGUGCUGGUUCUAUUACAAACCGGUCCUGAAACUUAUAAUUUUAACCUUGCACUUUUAGAAAUUAUAAUUCGAGGACUAAACGGUUAGGGAAAUUAAUAAAGUGAGCCAUUAAGUGAUUUCUAAUAUAACAAAUAAUUUCAGAAACUUGUUUAAUUCAUCUUAACUCAUUUUUUAUCCAUUCCAGUUGUAUUAGAUUCAUAUUAAUAUUGUUUAUCACCUAGUAACUCUGUUUGGACAUGAAACAUAGAUUAAAAUUGUUUACUUAAUUUAUCUCGUGCCAAGUAUUUAACAACUUCGGAAAAUCAUAACUUAAGAACCGUAACUCCGAUUUGAUCCGUUCGAAUUACGUUGGAUUCAAAACAAUAUCAUUUAUACAAUAUGACACUAACAUUUAUCGCACCCCAUACUUUUAUUAUUAGAAAUUUGUCUAGCCCAUGUUUAAUAGAUUAACUCCUCUAAUCGAAGUUAACUUAUCCAUAAUUAUAAUUUAACUAAAAUAUGAUCUAUAGUCAAGUUAUAAUUAAGGUUUAAGCUGAGUUAAUUAUUUAUAGAAUAGUCUCUCAUAUGAUAUACACUAAACAAUUUAUAAUAUAGUUUAAUAUCAAAAUCCCAUAGAUCUCUCAUAAAUCAUAACUCCUUAACCAUGACUCCGAUCUUAGUAGUUCUCAAUCCCAUGAUCUCAUAGCAACACGUAGAUUAUUAUUAAGCAGUUUGUACUUAUGUUUGGUGUGAUGUUAAUUUUGCCCAUACCAUGUUUGUCUGUAUUGCUACGACUAGCAGUGAGGUCACGAGAAUCUGAAGGUCAUCCUGGUACCUGGAAAUCUCAAGUCCCAGGCAAGUUGUGCCCUUGAUCACUUCUUUUUACCCACUCAUGUUCUAAUUAAUCAUAAUGAUCUGCAUAGGUUAAUUUUGAUGGGACCCAAUAGGAUACCCUAGUUUGUCUAUCUUUAUACCUUGUUUACCACUGAACUUUCUGGGUAGUACUUGCUAGUGCUAUAUGUGGUUUUGGGUGUGGAGAUACAUUAUUCAUGAUUACACUUUUGUUAUCGGUUGUUAUUUACUGUUCAUGAUAAGAUCAUUAUGUUAAUUGGAACAUGGAGCGACCACCCGGGAAAACAGUGCUACCACAAGGGUUUAAUGGGACGCCCUUGGCUGAUUAAUUAGGAAAGCUAGUGGAAGACUACCUUACCCAAAAGGGGCAAGGGCAGUAGGGGAGUGGUCAGUGUAGGGAGGUCCUUGGGAUGAUUUUGCUGCGAUGGCGGUCAUGCGAGGGGUCCCUGCAUUGGAGCUUCCUAUAAACUGUAGCGGGUUUUCUGAAGCUAGUGGAACUUUGUAAAGGCCUCAUAGUGUUACCCUGCCUCGCCUCCUCGGUAGAGGUGUAUGGGAAGUCGCGAUCCCUUGGCAGAUGGGUAACAUGACUUGUGGGUAAAGAUGCACAACCUCUGCAGAGUGUAAAACUGGUAUAUCAGCCGUGCUCACGGUCAUGAGCAGCUCGAACCCUCACAUGAUUAACUUAUGGAACUAAAUUCAAUUUGUCAUAUGCAUUGUAUCGCAGGUGAGGUUGUUACUUCUGUUCUACUACUUAAUCGGGUUGGUAUUUACUUAUACUUAGUAACUGCUAAUAAAAUUUUGACCAACUUUAAAAGCAAUGCUCAGCUCUAACCAUCCUCUUUGGUAAGCCUUACACUUCACCUGAGCUCCCACCUUUGGCGAGUUCAUACACAUUAUUCCCCACAACUUGUUGAGCGAUGAACGUAUGUGAGCUCACUCUUGCUGUCUCACACCCCCCCACAGGUCAAGAACAGGUACCACAGGAUGAGGCGCUUGGAGGAUGUUGUGACGAGUUCGUGAGAGGUCUAGGCCGUCGUCUCCC
RNAcentral lists this long non-coding RNA (2014 nucleotides) under Zea mays. RNAcentral's name for it is "long non-coding RNA (ZMAY_LNC002585)". The record is from RNAcentral. Lineage: Eukaryota; Viridiplantae; Streptophyta; Magnoliopsida; Poales; Poaceae.